UGGCUCAGAUUGAACGCUGGCGGCAGGCCUAACACAUGCAAGUCGAGCGGUAGAGAGGUGCUUGCAUCUCUUGAGAGCGGCGGACGGGUGAGUAAUGCCUAGGAAUCUGCCUAGUGGUGGGGGAUAACGUUCGGAAACGGACGCUAAUACCGCAUACGUCCUACGGGAGAAAGCGGGGGAUCUUCGGACCUCGCGCCAUUAGAUGAGCCUAGGUCGGAUUAGCUAGUUGGUGAGGUAAUGGCUCACCAAGGCGACGAUCCGUAACUGGUCUGAGAGGAUGAUCAGUCACACUGGAACUGAGACACGGUCCAGACUCCUACGGGAGGCAGCAGUGGGGAAUAUUGGACAAUGGGCGAAAGCCUGAUCCAGCCAUGCCGCGUGUGUGAAGAAGGUCUUCGGAUUGUAAAGCACUUUAAGUUGGGAGGAAGGGUAGUAACCUAAUACGUUGCUACUUUGACGUUACCGACAGAAUAAGCACCGGCUAACUUCGUG
RNAcentral lists this ribosomal RNA (492 nucleotides) under uncultured bacterium. Its description in RNAcentral is "bacterial SSU rRNA". It matches the Rfam family "Bacterial small subunit ribosomal RNA", at positions 20 to 507 of the family's 1533-position model. The record is from RNAcentral.